Molecule: ribosomal RNA, 375 nt
Filed under: uncultured bacterium
Lineage: Bacteria
Description: bacterial SSU rRNA
Rfam family: Bacterial small subunit ribosomal RNA
Source: RNAcentral
UUCACUCUAGCGAGACUGCCGGUAAUAAACCGGAGGAAGGUGGGGAUGACGUCAAAUCAUCAUGCCCCUUAUGACCUGGGCUACACACGUGCUACAAUGGCUGGUACAACGAGUCGCAAGCCGGUGACGGCAAGCUAAUCUCUUAAAGCCAGUCUCAGUUCGGAUUGUAGGCUGCAACUCGCCUACAUGAAGUCGGAAUCGCUAGUAAUCGCGGAUCAGCACGCCGCGGUGAAUACGUUCCCGGGCCUUGUACACACCGCCCGUCACACCACGAGAGUUUGUAACACCCGAAGUCGGUGAGGUAACCGUAAGGAGCCAGCCGCCUAAGGUGGGAUAGAUGAUUGGGGUGAAGUCGUAACAAGGUAACCGUAAAUC